This is a long non-coding RNA of Dreissena polymorpha, 724 nucleotides long. RefSeq lists it as uncharacterized. The record is from RefSeq and is a predicted model, not a curated record. The transcript is spliced from 3 exons. NCBI's taxonomy places the organism in Eukaryota, Metazoa, Mollusca, Bivalvia, Myida, Dreissenidae.
AGGACACUUGACAUACAUGCAUAUAGCCCGUUAGCAUAAUGUGGGAGGACACUUGACGUACAUGCAUAUAGCCCGUUAGCAUAAUGUGAGAGGACACUUGACGUACAUGCAUAUAGCCCGUUAGCAUAAUGUGAGAGGACACUUGACGUACAUGCAUAUAGCCCGUUAGCAUAAUGUGGGAGGACACUUGACGUACAUGCAUAUAGCCUGUUAGCAUAAUGUGGGAGGACACUUGACGUACAUGCAUAUAGCCCGUUAGCAUAAUGUGGGAGGACACUUGACGUACAUGCAUAUAGCCGGUUAGCAUAAUGUGGGAGGACACUUGACGUACAUGCAUAUAGCCCGUUAGCAUAAUGUGGGAGGACACUUGACGUACAUGCAUAUAGCCCGUUAGCAUAAUGUGGGAGGACACUUGACGUACAUGCAUAUAGCCUGUUAGCAUAAUGUGGGAGGACACUUGACGUACAUGCAUAUAGCCCGUUAGCAUAAUGUGAGAGGACACUUGAUGUACAUGCAUAUAGCCCGUUAGCAUAAUGUGGGAGGACACUUGACGUACAUGCAUAUAGCCCGUUAGCAUAAUGUGGGAGGACACUUGACGUACAUGCAUAUAGCCCGUUAGCAUAAUGUGAGAGGACACUUGAUGUACAUGCAUAUAGCCCGUUAGCAUAAUGUGGGAGAACACUUGACGUACAUGCAUAUAGCCCGUUAGCAUAAUGUGGGAGGA